AGCGAACUCUGGCGGCAGGCUUAACACAUGCAAGUCGAACGCCCCUCAAGGGGUGUGGUAGACGGGUGAGUAACACGUGGGAACGUACCCUUUGGUUCGGAGUUACUUGGGGAAACUCAAGCUAAUACCGGAUAAGCCCGUAUGGGGAAAGUUUUACUGCCGAGGGAUCGGCCCGCGUCUGAGUAGCUAGUUGGUGUGGUAAAGGCUCACCAAGGCGACGAUCAGUAGCAGGUCUGAGAGGAUGAUCAGCCACACUGGGACUGAGACACGGCCCAGACUCCUACGGGAGGCAGCAGUGGGGAAUAUUGGACAAUGGGGGCAACCCUGAUCCAGCCAUGCCGCGUGAGUGAUGAAGGCCUUAGGGUUGUAAAGCUCUUUUACCCGGGACGAUAAUGACUGUACCGGGAGAAUAAGCCCCGGCUAACUUCGUGCCAGCCGCCGCAGUAA
This 447-nucleotide ribosomal RNA is filed under the name uncultured bacterium. Its description in RNAcentral is "partial 16S ribosomal RNA". It matches the Rfam family "Bacterial small subunit ribosomal RNA", at positions 29 to 523 of the family's 1533-position model. The record is from RNAcentral.